UGGAAGCACAGCAAUGUGUGUAGCUGACUGGUACUAAUACACCGAUCACUCACACACA
Molecule: ribosomal RNA, 58 nt
Filed under: Brevibacterium paucivorans
Lineage: Bacteria; Bacillati; Actinomycetota; Actinomycetes; Micrococcales; Brevibacteriaceae
Description: partial 23S ribosomal RNA
Source: RNAcentral